RNAcentral lists this unclassified non-coding RNA (208 nucleotides) under Hevea brasiliensis (rubber tree). The record is from RNAcentral. Lineage: Eukaryota; Viridiplantae; Streptophyta; Magnoliopsida; Malpighiales; Euphorbiaceae.
GCAGCUCUACAUUUUUCUAAAGAUGUAGCCCUAAUGCAUUUGACACACAUUGGAGAUAAAAUGAAAGAAUGUUGAUUAAGAUGAUUUGAUUAUGUCCAACGUAGGGCAUCAAAUGCCCCAGUAUGGAAGCAUGAUAAGUUAGUAAGAAAAGUAGGGAGAAGGGAGAGGGGGAGACUUAAGAUGACGUGGAUGUAAGUGGUAUCAAAGA